GAUGAAGAACGCAGCGAAAUGCGAUAAGUAGUGUGAAUUGCAGAAUCCAGUGAAUCAUCGAAUCUUUGAACGCACAUUGCGCCCUUUGGUAUUCCAAAGGGCAUGCCUGUUCGAGCGUCAUUUGUACCCUCAAGCUUUGCUUGGUGUUGGGCGUCUUGUCUCUAGCUUUGCUGGAGACUCGCCUUAAAGUAAUUGGCAGCCGGCCUACUGGUUUCGGAGCGCAGCACAAGUCGCACUCUCUAUCAGCAAAGGUCUAGCAUCCAUUAAGCCUUUUUUUCAACUUUUGACCUCGGAUCAGGUAGGGAUACCCGCUGAACUUAAGCAUAUCAAUAAGCGGAGGA
Molecule: unclassified non-coding RNA, 341 nt
Filed under: soil metagenome
Description: partial contains 5.8S ribosomal RNA, internal transcribed spacer 2, and large subunit ribosomal RNA
Rfam family: 5.8S ribosomal RNA (bases 1-120)
Source: RNAcentral